Miniopterus natalensis is the source of this 2608-nucleotide RNA transcript. It is a transcript of the gene named potassium voltage-gated channel subfamily A member 3, with no coding region annotated. NCBI's taxonomy places the organism in Eukaryota, Metazoa, Chordata, Mammalia, Chiroptera, Miniopteridae. The record is from RefSeq and is a predicted model, not a curated record.
AGCAAACUUUAAACUUGAUUUCUCCUACACGCCCUACGGGGGGGGAAAAAAAAGCAAACAAACCUGUACAUCCUGGGAGGAAAUGAAACUAAAAGACAGUUAGAGUAACUUUAACCUCAGAAUUAAAAGACAGUUGUUUCUUUACUAAGUAAAGCAGGCGCGUGCGUAAAGGAGGCUUCGGCUUCAGGGACCUUCCAGCGUCAUCGAGGGUGUUGUAGUUCGAUUGCCGACACUGUGGUUGUGUGGAUGGGAAGCCCAAUCGAAAAGACUUAUAAACCCACCGUAAGUUUAUUUGGCUUUCGACUGGAAUUUCUGUGCUAUUUGGAAACCCCCCUCCCCCCCUUCCCAGAAUUUUAAGGAUCUCUACGGCUUUGAACAAAGGGAAAUGACCAAGAUGUCCUGCUCUGACUAGCUCCUUUAACGCUUUGGGGCUUGUUAGGCAUUUUGAAAGUAUGAGACUCAGAUGCCUGCGAACGUGUGAGUGUGAGUGUGUGUGUGAGUGUGUGUGUGUGUGUGUGAGUGUGAGUGUGUGUGCGCGCGCGCGCGCGCAUGUUUCCGCCGCUAGAAACAGUUGCCAGUGCUGCGGAAACUAACACGUUUCCCACUGCCUCUGAGAGAGGAGCGGCUACAGUCUCACAAGAAGAUUAAAGUGGCAGAUACUCCUUUCAGCGGAAGUUACUAAUUCGGACCCGACUUAUGCAGUUUCCAUAGCAACCUGCGUUUCCUGGGAAACCCGACACAGGUUGUCAUGGCAUCUCUCGUCCUCUGUCCCCGCCCCUUAGCCCCUGCCGUUUCCACAGUAACCUUUCCAGCCGGUUCCGACUGACACGAUUUCAUGGGGAAAACCAGGGUUUGAAUCAACCGCACAAAUGAAGUGAAGUCGGAGACUCCAAGGGGGUGAAAUGACUCACUAAAUGCAUAUUUUUAUUUUUUUAUUUUUUGCUAUAAAAAACUCAUUGCUAUCAUCCUAAAAUGACUGAAUUGAGAGAGGGAAAAGAUCACCUUUGGGAUUUUAGGUAUACACCGCAGUCGGGCUUGAUGUGAAUUAAAUUCGAGUAAUUGGGCAAUAAUUUCAAAAGAUGCUUCUCUACUGUUUUUUUUUCCUCCAAGAAGUUUCCAGCUGACAAAUGAAAUGAAAAAGCAGAUAGAAAAGUGUUCUGUGCAUAAGUAAACGAAAGAGUCAAUCAGUGUACCUGAAACCUUUCUACAAGGGACCUUCAGAUGUCCUCUUUAAAAAACAAACAAAAAACAGAUCCCACAACAGCACUGUCACCGUCACAGCUAAAUAAAAUUGCAAACUCUGAAGGAUGCUUGUUCUUAACUGAGGGAAUUGCAGACAAUCGCAAAGAAGGGAUGGGAAGUGACCAGAUCUUGGGGGAAAUGCCUUCAAGCGCCAGCCGAGGGCCAGGCCGAGGAAGACGGACAGGACCAGAUCCCUGAAGAGCCCGCAUACAGAGCCGGCGAGCCGCGUAGGCCAGUAGGAUGCUCAGGUUUUCACUGUCUAGCUCAAGAACGCAGUGCCGGGCUUGUCGCUGUCGCCGGUGACCGGUCGGCCAGCACUUGACGCUAAAUAACAUUGUCCCUUACGAAUGCUUUCUGUAGAGGAAAUAGCUCCGAGGAUCUUCCAAUGGCGUGCAGUAUAACUCAUCAAGAGAUAAAGAAGACCAUUACACAUGUCAGGGCAUCAUUUCAACCUUUUGACAUUUUGGUGAAAUUCAGUGAUCCAAAAACUAAUCAGUGUGGCUGACAAAGAAAACCGGAAUGUUUCCGACAAGCCAGCUAUUGCUGUGUCUCUUCUUGCGGCGAAUUACUGGACUGGGUUUAGCCGGGAGCUCUAGUCGCGUUGUCUUCUAAUAAAGGCUUACGUGCGCCUUUAUUUGUGAGGCUGUGUGUUGUACCAAAGGCUCUCGGACCCAGAUCAGCCCCUGCACACGAGAGGAAGCGAAAUGACACUGUGCCGGCAUGAAUGACGUCAGAGGCAGGCUUGCCUAAAAGAAAUGUGCCUUGCUUGAUUCAACAUGCUUUUAUUUUUUUGAUGAAAAAUGCUAGAUUUGCAAAUUAAUCUCGUAGGCAGGUGUUAGCUGAACUUAAAAAAAAUGCUAUCAGUAUUUACUAUAUGUUUAAGUUGUCUGUCUUGCUAAAAUCCAGCACUGAGUUAUGCUUUCCCACAGUUUAUACGUGAUAUUCUCCCUCCGUUUCAUGUUCAUUUAGUGUUCGCGUGGCGAGACCAAGCACACUCCUGAAGAUAUAUAGUGUUUCCUCUAAUGUUUAUAGAGUUUCCUCCAGAAGGAUACAUGUCAAAGCUGUCUUGGUUCAUUUUCUAUUUUUAUAUUCUUUUAGAAAUGAAACUUUUUUCUAUUAAAAAAAAAAAGGAAAGUUUUCGUUGGAAAAGAGAUAUAGGAGGUCAUGGAGAUGGUUUCCCAUUUGGGGCCCUUUCCCUUCUGUGCGAUUAUUAAUGUAUCGACUGUGACAUUUCAGCAGAAUGGUAGCUAUUUGUAUAUUAUUUAAUAAGCCUUAUGGAAAGUCACACUGUGAACAUUUAACAUAAAGAAGACUUCUUCUCAUUUCCAUACUUUAUUUUCCAAAUACACCUGAGCCAAUGCAUAAA